Molecule: ribosomal RNA, 395 nt
Filed under: uncultured bacterium
Lineage: Bacteria
Description: partial 16S ribosomal RNA
Rfam family: Bacterial small subunit ribosomal RNA
Source: RNAcentral
AUACGUAGGGUGCAAGCGUUAAUCGGAAUUACUGGGCGUAAAGCGUGCGCAGGCGGUUUUGUAAGACCGAGGUGAAAUCCCCGGGCUCCACCUGGGACCUGCCUUUGUGACUGCAAGGCUAGAGUACGGCAGAGGGGGAUGGACUUCCGCGUGUAGCAGUGAAAUGCGUAGAUAUGCGGAGGAACACCGAUGGCGAAGGCAAUCCCCUGGGCCUGUACUGACGCUCAUGCACGAAAGCGUGGGGAGCAAACAGGAUUAGAUACCCUGGUAGUCCACGCCCUAAACGAUGUCAACUGGUUGUUGGGUCUUCAUUGACUCAGUAACGAAGCUAACGCGUGAAGUUGACCGCCUGGGGAGUACGGCCGCAAGGUUGAAACUUAAAUGAAUUGGCGGGG